This 277-nucleotide ribosomal RNA is filed under the name uncultured soil bacterium. Its description in RNAcentral is "partial 16S ribosomal RNA". It matches the Rfam family "Bacterial small subunit ribosomal RNA", at positions 26 to 301 of the family's 1533-position model. The record is from RNAcentral.
AGAUUGAACGCUGGCGGCAGGCCUAACACAUGCGAGUCGAGCGGCAGCACGGGUACUUGUACCUGGUGGCGAGCGGCGGACGGGUGAGUAAUGCCUAGGAAUCUGCCUGGUAGUGGGGGAUAACGCUCGGAACGGACGCUAAUACCGCAUACGUCCUACGGGAGAAAGCAGGGGACCUUCGGGCCUUGCGCUAUCAGAUGAGCCUAGGUCGGAUUAGCUAGUUGGUGGGGUAAUGGCUCACCAAGGCGACGAUCCCGUAAUCGGUCUAGACGAGGAU